GACGAACGCUGGCGGCGUGCUUAACACAUGCAAGUCGAACGGAAAGGCCCUGCUUUUGUGGGGUGCUCGAGUGGCGAACGGGUGAGUAACACGUGAGUAACCUGCCCUUGACUUUGGGAUAACUUCAGGAAACUGGGGCUAAUACCGGAUAGGAGCUCCUGCUGCAUGGUGGGGGUUGGAAAGUUUCGGCGGUUGGGGAUGGACUCGCGGCUUAUCAGCUUGUUGGUGGGGUAGUGGCUUACCAAGGCUUUGACGGGUAGCCGGCCUGAGAGGGUGGCCGGCCCCAUUGGGACUUAGAUACGGCCCAGACUCCUACGGGAGGCAGCAGUGGGGAAUAUUGCACAAUGGGCGCAAGCCUGAUGCAGCAACGCCGCGUGCGGGAUGACGGCCUUCGUGUUGUAAACCGCUUUCGCCUGUGACGAAGCGUGAGUGACGGUAAUGGGUAAAGAAGCACCGGCUAACUACGUG
Molecule: ribosomal RNA, 468 nt
Filed under: uncultured bacterium
Lineage: Bacteria
Description: partial 16S ribosomal RNA
Rfam family: Bacterial small subunit ribosomal RNA
Source: RNAcentral